RNAcentral lists this ribosomal RNA (462 nucleotides) under uncultured bacterium. Its description in RNAcentral is "partial 16S ribosomal RNA". It matches the Rfam family "Bacterial small subunit ribosomal RNA", at positions 28 to 507 of the family's 1533-position model. The record is from RNAcentral.
GACGAACGCUGGCGGCGUGCUUAACACAUGCAAGUCGAGCGACGCUCUUCCUUCGGGGAGCUGACGGAGCGGCGAACGGGUGAGUAACACGUGGGCAACCUGCCCCUAGCUCUGGGACAACACCGGGAAACCGGUGCUAAUACCGGAUACGACAUCGAGCGGCAUCUCUCGAUGUGGAAAGUUUUUUCGGCUAGGGAUGGGCCCGCGGCCUAUCAGCUUGUUGGUGGGGUAAUGGCCCACCAAGGCGACGACGGGUAGCCGGCCUGAGAGGGCGACCGGCCACACGGGGACUGAGACACGGCCCAGACUCCUACGGGAGGCAGCAGUGGGGAAUAUUGCGCAAUGGGCGAAAGCCUGACGCAGCGACGCCGCGUGAGGGAUGACGGCCUUCGGGUUGGAAACCUCUUUCAGCAGGGACGAAUUCAGACGGUACCUGCAGAAGAAGCACCGGCCAACUACGUG